CUUUGCCUCAGAAGAUGUGUGGCUCUUUGCCUCCUAUUGUGUCUGGCUGUCUACCCCAGUCUCCCUUUCCACCUUUCAGCCGAUCCGCAGACGACAACGAGGCCCGGCCCAGGGUAGAUUGGCACAGGGCAAGGACGGGUUCGUCGAAUGAAUGCUCGAGCCGCAUCUCAAGCGGCCAGAAGGGCGCCCAGGCCGCCCCCUGGUGGCCAGGGCGAACGCGGGCCCGCUCGGCGGCCAAAUUUCCCACCAGAGCUUCUCGUAGCCUGAUAAUGACGGACUAAUGCGAGAACUUAACUCCGUUUCACAUAUAACCACAAGAAAGAGGGAGUGAGAGAACGAGCUGAGGAGGGGCAGAGCAUCCAAAGCGGGCUCAGCCCUGACAGCGGAGACCCCCGGAUGCGGGGCUCAGACUUCCUAACCGUGAGAUCGUGACCCGAGCCGAGACCUGACGCUUGACCCGCCGAGCCACCCGGGCGCCCCUCAAAAUCCUUUGAAACGUUGUGGACACGAAGGCACGAUGUACCUACUUUUGUAAAACCCACGAACCCCGAGUGCAGAAGCCCUGGGGGGAGAAACCAAACAUUGCAGGUCCCCCGCCUCCUACCAGGACCCCCUGGGGACCCCCUUCUACUGACUCUCUCCCGGGCAAUCAUUAUCCUCAAGUCAACCAACAGAGAUUUAGUUGUGCCUGUUCUAGAACUUCAUGCAAAUAGAAUCAAACCGU
This is a long non-coding RNA of Lynx canadensis (Canada lynx), 724 nucleotides long. RefSeq lists it as uncharacterized. The record is from RefSeq and is a predicted model, not a curated record. The transcript has 3 exons. Lineage: Eukaryota; Metazoa; Chordata; Mammalia; Carnivora; Felidae.